CUCAAAAUCAGCCUUGGAAAUUUGUUGAAAUGCAGAUUCCGAUGCAAUGUAUAUGUGGCAGGGCCUGAGAGUCUGCAUUUCUAAUAAGUUCCCAGGUGAUGCCGGU
This 106-nucleotide microRNA precursor is filed under the name Marmota monax (woodchuck). The record is from RNAcentral. Lineage: Eukaryota; Metazoa; Chordata; Mammalia; Rodentia; Sciuridae.